Molecule: ribosomal RNA, 183 nt
Filed under: uncultured bacterium
Lineage: Bacteria
Description: partial 16S ribosomal RNA
Rfam family: Bacterial small subunit ribosomal RNA
Source: RNAcentral
CCAUGAAGCCGGAAUUGCUAGUAAUGGCAGGUCAGCAUACUGCCGUGAAUACGUUCCCGGGCCCUUGUACACACCGCCCGUCACACCAUGAGAGUUGGGAAUACCCGAAGCCUGUGAGCUAACGUUAAGAGGCAGCAGUCGAAGGUAGAAUCAAUGAUUGGGGUGAAGUCGUAACAAGGUAGC